CCCUUCUGGAGAGAGGAGAGAUGGAGAGGGAGAGAAAAUACAGACAUUGAUUUGGAGAAGAGGGCUAGCAGGUUUUCUAAUUGGACACACUUUCAUGACACACACACACACACACACACACACACACACACACACACACACACACAGCGCGAGAGAUCAGGUUUUCCUUUUGUUGUUAACCCACCUUAUACAGCAGGUUGCCCUCCUCCAUGAGUUUCUGUAGGAGGAUGAGGAGGACGUCUGGUUUGGAUGUGGCCAUCGCCCACGUAGCAUGACCUGGUCAAGAGUAGGGUGACCACUACAGCAGCGUUCCUACAGCCCACAGCCCUCUCCAGAGGCCUCACCCCACUGUGGUCCACAUGCUCCACCACCGCACCCUUCUCCACCAGUUUGCAGUAUUAGAAGGAACCCCACCAUCUCUGCAUCACCGUUGAACGCUGCCAGGUGGAGAGGGGUACGUCCGUUCCUGUCAGGGUGGUCUAUCUCUGCCCCCUUCUCCACCAGGCGCUCCACCACGCCCUUCUGACCCUUCAGACACGCCCAGCUCAGAGCUGUCUGGCCCUCCUUGUCCACGGAGGCUAAAGACGCGCCUGGAACCAGAUCA
Salmo salar (Atlantic salmon) is the source of this 604-nucleotide non-coding RNA. The record is from RefSeq and is a predicted model, not a curated record. NCBI's taxonomy places the organism in Eukaryota, Metazoa, Chordata, Actinopteri, Salmoniformes, Salmonidae.